RNAcentral lists this ribosomal RNA (497 nucleotides) under uncultured bacterium. Its description in RNAcentral is "partial 16S ribosomal RNA". It matches the Rfam family "Bacterial small subunit ribosomal RNA", at positions 28 to 507 of the family's 1533-position model. The record is from RNAcentral.
GAUGAACGCUGGCGGCGUGCCUAAUACAUGCAAGUCGAGCGAACAGAUGAGGAACUUGCUCCUCUGACGUUAGCGGCGGACGGGUGAGUAACACGUGGAUAACCUACCUAUAAGACUGGGAUAACUUCGGGAAACCGGAGCUAAUACCGGAUAAUAUAUUGAACCGCAUGGCUCAAUAGUGAAAGACGGUUUUGCUGUCACUUAUAGAUGGAUCCGCGCCGCAUUAGCUAGUUGGUAAGGUAACGGCUUACCAAGGCAACGAUGCGUAGCCGACCUGAGAGGGUGAUCGGCCACACUGGAACUGAUACACGGUCCAGACUCCUACGGGAGGCAGCAGUAGGGAAUCUUCCGCAAUGGGCGAAAGCCUGACGGAGCAACGCCGCGUGAGUGAUGAAGGUCUUCGGAUCGUAAAACUCUGUUAUUAGGGAAGAACAAAUGUGUAAGUAACUAUGCACGUCUUGACGGUACCUAAUCAGAAAGCCACGGCUAACUACGUG